AACGAACGCUGGCGGCAGGCUUAACACAUGCAAGUCGAACGCCCCGCAAGGGGAGUGGCAGACGGGUGAGUAACGCGUGGGAAUCUACCUAGUUCUACGGAACAACAGUUGGAAACGACUGCUAAUACCGUAUACGCCCUACGGGGAAGAUUUAUCGGAAUUAGAUGAGCCCGCGUGAGAUUAGCUAGUUGGUGGGGUAAGUGGCCUACCAAGGCGACGAUCUCUAGCUGGUCUGAGAGGAUGAUCAGCCACACUGGGACUGAGACACGGCCCAG
RNAcentral lists this ribosomal RNA (275 nucleotides) under uncultured bacterium. RNAcentral describes it as "partial 16S ribosomal RNA". It matches the Rfam family "Bacterial small subunit ribosomal RNA", at positions 29 to 334 of the family's 1533-position model. The record is from RNAcentral.